This 331-nucleotide ribosomal RNA is filed under the name uncultured eukaryote. Its description in RNAcentral is "partial 18S ribosomal RNA". It matches the Rfam family "Eukaryotic small subunit ribosomal RNA", at positions 1470 to 1796 of the family's 1831-position model. The record is from RNAcentral.
CCCUUAGAUGUUCUGGGCCGCACGCGCGCUACACUGUUCGACGCAGCGAGUCUUAACCUUGACCGAAAGGUUUGGGUAAUCUUCAGCAAAGUCGAACGUGAUGGGGAUCGAUCAUUGCAAUUAUUGAUCGUGAACGAGGAAUUCCUAGUAAGUGCAAGUUAUCAGCUUGCGCUGAUUACGUCCCUGCCCUUUGUACACACCGCCCGUCGCUACUACCGAUUGAAUGGUUUAGUGAGAUCUCUGGAUUGACGCUGGCUAGGGGGCGACCCUUGGCCAGACUGUUGAGAAACUGCUCAAACUUGAUCAUUUAGAGGAAGUAAAAGUCGUAACA